GACGAACGCUGGCGGCGUGCUUAACACAUGCAAGUCGAACGGAAAGGCCCUGCUUGCUGGGUACUCGAGUGGCGAACGGGUGAGUAACACGUGGGUGAUCUGCCCUGCACUUCGGGAUAAGCCUGGGAAACUGGGUCUAAUACCGGAUAGGAGCCAUUUUUAGUGUGAUGGUUGGAAAGUUUUUUCGGUGUAGGAUGAGCUCGCGGCCUAUCAGCUUGUUGGUGGGGUAAUGGCCUACCAAGGCGGCGACGGGUAGCCGGCCUGAGAGGGUGGACGGCCACAUUGGGACUGAGAUACGGCCCAGACUCCUACGGGAGGCAGCAGUGGGGAAUAUUGCACAAUGGGCGCAAGCCUGAUGCAGCGACGCCGCGUGGGGGAUGACGGCCUUCGGGUUGUAAACUCCUUUCGCUAGGGACGAAGCUUUUGUGACGGUACCUAGAUAAGAAGCACCGGCUAACUACGUG
Molecule: ribosomal RNA, 464 nt
Filed under: uncultured bacterium
Lineage: Bacteria
Description: partial 16S ribosomal RNA
Rfam family: Bacterial small subunit ribosomal RNA
Source: RNAcentral